UACGUAGGGGGCUAGCGUUGUCCGGAUUUAUUGGGCGUAAAGAGCGUGUAGGCGGCCAUACAGGUCAGCUGUGAAAACUCGAGGCUCAACCUCGAGACGUCGGUUGAAACCGUAUGGCUAGAGUCCGGAAGAGGAGAGUGGAAUUCCCGGUGUAGCGGUGAAAUGCGCAGAUAUCAGGAAGAACACCCGUGGCGAAGGCGGCUCUCUGGUACGUGACUGACGCUGAGACGCGAAAGCGUGGGGAGCAAACAGG
Molecule: ribosomal RNA, 253 nt
Filed under: uncultured bacterium
Lineage: Bacteria
Description: partial 16S ribosomal RNA
Rfam family: Bacterial small subunit ribosomal RNA
Source: RNAcentral